RNAcentral lists this small RNA (192 nucleotides) under Natranaerobius thermophilus. RNAcentral describes it as "Magnesium sequence". It matches the Rfam family "M-box riboswitch aptamer (ykoK leader)". Rfam says of the family: M-box riboswitch, also know as ykoK leader is described as a metaloregulatory RNA that sense divalent metals and function as a genetic control element of genes related to divalent metal transport in bacteria. Lineage: Bacteria; Bacillati; Bacillota; Clostridia; Natranaerobiales; Natranaerobiaceae. RNAcentral also lists the same sequence under 1 other name. The record is from RNAcentral.
UUAUAAACUCGUUAGGUGAGGCUCCUGGGUGGAUAUAAGCUGCUGCCCAAAAACGUCGAGAGACGCCAAUGGGUAUAACAGACAGUGUCGGCUUAAGGCCUGUCUAAUGCAGCUGGUCCUCUUCUACCUUAUUAGAUAUUAAAUUUCGGAUCUACGUCACCCAGUGCCAAAGCUAAGACGAGGAGUGCGUAA